CCCUUAGAUGUUCUGGACCGCACACGCGCUACACUGAAGGAGGCAGCGUGUACUCCUGGAUCGAAAGAUUUGGGUAACCCGCGAAUCUCCUUCGUGCUAGGGAUUGAGGUUUGCAAUUAUCCUUCAUGAACGAGGAAUUCCCAGUAAGUGCAAGUCAUAAGCUUGCGCUGACUACGUCCCUGCCCUUUGUACACACCGCCCGUCGCUACUACCGAUUGAAUGAUUUAGUGAGGACUUCGGACUGGGACCGAUGCGGCUUUCGGGCUGCGUCGGUAUUCUGGAAAGAUGUCCAAACUGUAUCAUUUAGAGGAAGUAAAAGUCGUANCA
Molecule: ribosomal RNA, 327 nt
Filed under: uncultured eukaryote
Lineage: Eukaryota
Description: partial 18S ribosomal RNA
Rfam family: Eukaryotic small subunit ribosomal RNA
Source: RNAcentral